This 279-nucleotide long non-coding RNA is filed under the name Gossypium barbadense (sea-island cotton). Its description in RNAcentral is "long non-coding RNA (GBAR_LNC022390)". The record is from RNAcentral. Lineage: Eukaryota; Viridiplantae; Streptophyta; Magnoliopsida; Malvales; Malvaceae.
GAGUGGAGUUGCAUACAAUCCUAGAAUUGGAUGACAUAAAUCUACUGGAUUAGAGUCGAAUCUAAUAGGGGAUCCAUAGAUCGAGUUAAUGCGACAAUAGGGGUUUUAAUUAGCAAAAAAAAUUCAAUUAAUCAACUCAGAGUCAGUUUCUCUUAGCCUUGAAAAAAGAUAUUAGCAUAAUUUAGGGAUUUCUAUUAGUCAAGAUACUAAGUGAAGAAAUUGCGUGAUUCAGAUUUAUAAUAACAGAUGAAGUCUAGGCGGAUUCUUUCCUAGGUAUUG